Tripterygium wilfordii is the source of this 142-nucleotide small nucleolar RNA. RefSeq annotates it as small nucleolar RNA snoR145. The record is from RefSeq and is a predicted model, not a curated record. The transcript has a single exon. NCBI's taxonomy places the organism in Eukaryota, Viridiplantae, Streptophyta, Magnoliopsida, Celastrales, Celastraceae.
GUGCGAAGAUCCCAGCGGAGAGGUGGGUCACUCUAUCAAUUGAGAUCUCUCCAACGGUUUGAACUUUUCGCAAAUUGAUAUCCAGACCUAUGAUGCCCUUCAUUUUAUUGUUGGAGCGUCUAGAAUCACCGGAUACAUUCAU